AACCCGACAGAAUCUUCAUCCGCGUGUCCAUUCUGACAGGAUGUACAGUAGUAUAUGACCUGGGGUUAUUUCCACUGUCAUUUUAUAGAAGGUAAAAUACGCUGGAAUCUUCCCAGACCGGAGAAUGUGCAAGUCUGGAAAAGUUACCGACGUGACAGCUUUCCGGUUAGUGAUGACUAAUAAAAAAAAAAAAUCCACUCAGUCUGAACAGUGUUUAAGUUCAAGCCGGGGGGCUCUAAUUAAACGCUGACACUUGGAACGACAGGAGGAGCACAACGUGGACUUCGUACAGCAUGGUUCUUUAGGACUUCGGACGGCUCCAAGUCGUUGACCUGCAGGAGUGAACUGUAGUGACGACUCGCACGCACGCGCACGCAGCUGUGGACAGCGGACAAACAUCAAACCCUGACGGUUUACCAGGCUUCACCGAUCCCGUACCGUGCUCGUCGUCGGUGUGAGCGACGUGGAUCGCGCGCUCGUCCAGGCUGAAGUAGAGGAAAUGGAGGCCUCGGCGUCGGUGUAAAGGGGAUUCCAUCGACCCCUUCGACUCUCAAGACUCAUCCCUGGAUCCUGACUUGCCUUCUUCACUCCCGACGAAUAGUCUGGGUUUGAGGGCUUAAAUAAAUGAUUCUUUUUAUUGAAUUAACAUUUGAAAAGAGGAGCGGUUGAUCACGUUUGUCCACUCAAGAAAGGAUUUUUAAUUUCAAAGUUGCUCUGAUGUCCACUUUGUCCUCUUACGCUCGGCGUGAUGACCUCAACAAUAUUAGACGUUAAGUCCUAUGAGAUCACGUCACCGGCCCCCCACAUGCUCCAAAUUCACCCUAACGGAAAUUUGAAGAAUAUAUUGGCGAAUAUAUUCACCGCUUAUCAAAUCUAGGCAAACAAUAUGAUUGAAAAGUAAACUAUACAUUUAAAAUAAUAAUAAUAAUAAUAAUAAUAAUAAUAAUACUAAUAAUAAUAAUUUAAAGAAUGUCCUUGUUGGUGUUAAUCUGACAUUGAUCCUGUCCUCUAGGUCCUCUUCUGUUUCAGUUAACUGGUGCCUUCUUUAAAAAAAAAUUAUAUUUAUUUAUUUAUUUUAAAUCAUACCACUGUUCUACCGCUCUUCUUUCUGAAUCUUUCUCUCUUUCUUAUCUCCUCCAUACAUCCUCCCACCUGCCUCCCUCUAUCUCCCUCCCGUCGCUCUUCCUGCCUUUCCGCGCGUGCUGAUUGUCGCGCUUUUCAUUCUUCGUCCUCUGUAUUGGCUUUUGUUUUGGGAACAAAGGGCGCGUAAUGUCCUCAUCUUUUCCAUCUGUCACUCAGUCGGGGGGAAUGACUGAGAGGCGGAAGAUGACGAGAGACAGGGAGAGAGUGAGGAGGAAGGAUGCGGCCGUUUGAUUUCGGGAGCACUGCUUCAUUUCCCCUCAGCUCUCUGUGCGACUGCUCCGUAGACACAGACACGGCGAGGGAUCGGAGCUCCGGCGAGCUUCCUCCUGGAAAUUUACCACAGUGCUGCUGUGCUUCCAAAAAGGUUACAAAUAUUUCAUAGAUGGAUGGAUGGAUGGAUGGACAGUGGGAUGGAUGGAUGGAAGGACAGAUAGAUAGAUUGAUAGAUAGAUGUAUGGAUAGACAGUGGGAUGGAUGGAAGGAUAGAUAGACAGAGACAAAUAGAUAGAUAGAUAGUGGGAUGGAUGGAUAGAUAGAUAGUGGGAUGGAUGGAUAGAUAGUGGGAUGGAUGGAUGGAAGGAUAGAUAGAUGGACAGUGGGAUGGAUGGAUGGAAGGAUAGAUAGAUGGAUAGAUAGAUAGUGGGAUGGAUGGAAGGAUAGAUAGAUAGUGGGAUGGAUGGAUGGAAGGAUAGACAGAUAGAUGGAUAGUGGGAUGGAUGGAUGGAAGGAUAGAUAGAUGGAUAGAUAGAUGGAUAGAUAGUGGGAUGGAUGGAUGGAAGGAUAGUGGGAUGGAUGGAUGGAAGGAUAGUGGGAUGGAUGGAUGGAAGGAUAGAUAGAUGGAUAGAUAGAUGGAUAGUGGGAUGGAUGGAUGGAAGGAUAGUGGGAUGGAUGGAUGGAAGGAUAGUGGGAUGGAUGGAUGGAAGGAUAGAUGGAUAGAUGGAUUAGUGGGAUGGAUGGAUGGAAGGAUAGAUAGAUAGAUGGAUAGUGGGAUGGAUGGAUGGAAGGAUAGAUGGAUAGUGGGAUGGAUGGAUGGAAGGAUAGAUGGAUAGUGGGAUGGAUGGAUGGAAGGAUAGAUAGAU
Molecule: long non-coding RNA, 2222 nt
Organism: Ictalurus punctatus (channel catfish)
Lineage: Eukaryota; Metazoa; Chordata; Actinopteri; Siluriformes; Ictaluridae
Source: Ensembl